GGAAUUUAAACCAAACGGUAUUUCUGAAGUAAUUGCGAAUGAAUGAGAAUUUGUUUAAUCUGACAAGUGGGGCUGAAAGCCUUGGCAUGUAGUGUAAAACUGCAUCACCAAUGGGGGGUUGGAUGAAUGCUUCUUGGAACAGAGCAGCAAUAAGGGUGAUACUCCUGUUUGCCAUUGAUAAAUCCUUGUGUACUGCAUGCAUGUGCUGAAUCACACUUUUUGGGAAUGAAGUGCAAAGUGGGUGGUAAGUUUCAUUUAAAGAUGCAUAUAAGCUUGAGACUGAUAGUGCACAAGUACCUUGAGGGAAAAAUGAAAAGGACUUUGAAAAGAAAGUUAAAAGAGCCUUAACUUGCUGAGUGGAAAGCAAGCAGACACACUAAAUGUGUGAAAGAUUGCUGUUGUGGUGCACCUCUACUGCAUCAGUUGGUGUGGUGCAAGCACAAUGGUGCAUCUUCUUGCGUUGCCAUUGCUAAUUCAAUAAUGCACAUUGAUUGGGAGUUAACACUUUUGCUAGCUGGCAAAGUGUUUUAACCGUUGGUGGUUUAUGAAUUGGGAAUUGUUUGUGUGGGAAUUGGGAUUGUGGCUUGGUUGGUAACACCUGUGGCCAACUUCAUGAGCAUAUGAAGCAGUAUUGGCCUAAUGCUUCUGCUUGACCCG
RNAcentral lists this ribosomal RNA (657 nucleotides) under Fragilidium subglobosum. RNAcentral describes it as "LSU rRNA". It matches the Rfam family "Eukaryotic large subunit ribosomal RNA", at positions 55 to 651 of the family's 3401-position model. The record is from RNAcentral. Lineage: Eukaryota; Dinophyceae; Gonyaulacales; Pyrophacaceae.